This 270-nucleotide ribosomal RNA is filed under the name uncultured archaeon. Its description in RNAcentral is "partial 16S ribosomal RNA". It matches the Rfam family "Archaeal small subunit ribosomal RNA", at positions 477 to 747 of the family's 1478-position model. The record is from RNAcentral.
CAGCACCUCAAGUGGUCAGGAUGAUUAUUGGGCCUAAAGCAUCCGUAGCCGGCGCUGUAAGUUUUCGGUUAAAUCUGUACGCUCGACGUACAGGCUGCCGGGAAUACUGCAGCGCUAGGGAGUGGGAGAGGUAGACGGUACUCGGUAGGAAGGGGUAAAAUCCUUUGAUCUAUUGAUGACCACCUGCGGCGAAGGCGGUCUACCAGAACACGUCCGACGGUGAGGGAUGAAAGCUGGGGGAGCAAACCGGAUUAGAUACCCGAGUAGUCC